RNAcentral lists this ribosomal RNA (468 nucleotides) under uncultured bacterium. RNAcentral's name for it is "partial 16S ribosomal RNA". It matches the Rfam family "Bacterial small subunit ribosomal RNA", at positions 28 to 507 of the family's 1533-position model. The record is from RNAcentral.
GACGAACGCUGGCGGCGUGCUUAACACAUGCAAGUCGAACGGAAAGGCCCUGCUUUUGUGGGGUGCUCGAGUGGCGAACGGGUGAGUAACACGUGAGUAACCUGCCCUUGACUUUGGGAUAACUUCAGGAAACUGGGGCUAAUACCGGAUAGGAGCUCCUGCUGCAUGGUGGGGGUUGGAAAGUUUCGGUGGUUGGGGAUGGACUCGCGGCUUAUCAGCUUGUUGGUGGGGUAGUGGCUUACCAAGGCUUUGACGGGUAGCCGGCCUGAGAGGGUGACCGGCCACAUUGGGACUGAGAUACGGCCCAGACUCCUACGGGAGGCAGCAGUGGGGAAUAUUGCACAAUGGGCGGGAGCCUGAUGCAGCAACGCCGCGUGCGGGAUGACGGCCUUCGGGUUGUAAACCGCUUUCGCCUGUGACGAAGCGUGAGUGACGGUAAUGGGUAAAGAAGCACCGGCUAACUACGUG